RNAcentral lists this long non-coding RNA (1697 nucleotides) under Gossypium raimondii (Peruvian cotton). RNAcentral's name for it is "long non-coding RNA (GRAI_LNC004317)". Lineage: Eukaryota; Viridiplantae; Streptophyta; Magnoliopsida; Malvales; Malvaceae. The record is from RNAcentral.
CUUCACAUUCAACCUUAAUACACCCACCUAGGUACAUGCCAUUUAUUGAAAUGACAAAAUUAAUACUUUACCCCUUUCUCAGAUCCACUGAUGUGAUGAGAUGAGAUGCCUUUGAUAUUCAAAUAUCCCUUUUCUUUUACUCUUAACCUACGUGUAUAAAACAUGCGUUAAGCUAUUACUAGCUUAGUAAGUACAACUAGUAUUUAGAUCAUAAUCUAUGUUAUAAAUUAUAACUUAUUUAUUAUUUACUACACAAAAUCAUUUAAAUGACUUGUUUGUAUUCAUCAUACAUAAUUUACCAAUCAAUUCACUUAUUCUUACAAUUAGGUCCACAUUUUUAUUAUUUUCUCAUUAUACACCAACUAAACAUAUUAUUUAAUUAUCAUCUAUAUAAUACUAGAAUCACAUGAUUUAUUUUAAAUUUAUCGUUUACUCCAUUUAGCUAAAAUUUCAAAUAAUUUACUUUUUUUUAUUUCAACCAUAUAUUUUCUUGUGUUUCUCAAUUUCAUAAUUUUUCAGCACAUAUAAUCUAUAUAAUUCAAUAAUCACUAAAAUAGUUUUGUACCUUUUUCAGAGGCCCAGUAGACUUAAUAGAACACAAAGGAUAUACAGAAUAGAACAGAACACCAUCGAAGCAGAUAACAAAACACCACUGAAGCGGAUAAUAAAACACCGCCAAAGCGGAUAAAUAGAGAGCAUUGAUGUGCUAAUAAUCAGAGAGCACUAACAUGCUAAUAAUUAGAGAGCGAACUAAGGUUCCUUAAUGGCAUGCCACUAAUAUCCUAAUAGUUCUUAUCUCAUCUACUUAGGCAAGUCAUAACAUACACACGUCACUUUUACACUUUUUACCAUUUAAUCCUUAUAACAAUACUUUGUAUAAUUAUAUCUUCCUCUUUCAUUGACACAUGUAACUUGUCUCAAUAUUUAAUAAUCUUCCAUAAUUCCACUAAUAAUUCUUAUUAUACAUUUCACCUAUCACUUUUACUUACUUUACAAUUUAGACCUCAUCAUGACAUUUCAUGUAACAAUAUCUUUUUCUUUCAAUUUCGUAUAUAACAUAUUUCAUUUCUCUAUUUAAUUUCCAUAUUCCACCACAAUUUCUUAUCACAUUCACAUGUCAUUUUCAUUUUUUUUUAUUUCUAAGUUUUGUCCUUGAGGCAUCAAAUCCAGAAAUAGAAUGUUUUACCAAUUAAUAUAAUUUCCAUAAUUCAUCACUAAUCUUUAUUAGUUCUUUUUACAUGUUGUUUUUACGCUUUUAACAUACUAAUCCUUGUCUUUCAUUUUUCAUCAAACAUAUGUACAUUAUUUCACAUAUUUCUCUUCACAUUUAAUUACAUAAAUAUAUAGUUCCAUCAACUUUUACAUCCUCUACAAUUUAGUCUCUUUUUUUAUACACUUUAAAUCUUUUCUCGCAUUUCUUUCAAUUUCUUUAUCACAUAUUACUUAAUAAAUGCAAUCAAUUCAUUAUUUAUUAUAUUUAAUCAUUAUCAAGCCUUAUUCUUCACUUAUUCAACAUAUAAAUUUGUAAUUAAAUAUUAUAUUAAAAUUUUAUUCAUUCUAACAAUCAACUUCAUAAUGAAAACAAGUCAGAUUCUAGUUGAACUUACAACUUUAGGCUUGAAAUCAACUCUCUUCUCCUCUUUCUCCCUUUGUCCACUUCAUUGCUUUAUUUCUCUAUUUGUUUAUCAACUUCCUUC